CCUACGGGAGGCAGCAGUGAGGAAUAUUGGUCAAUGGACGAGAGUCUGAACCAGCCAAGUAGCGUGAAGGAUGACGGCCCUAUGGGUUGUAAACUUCUUUUAUAAAGGAAUAAAACGAGGCACGUGAGCCUUUGUGCAUGGACGUUAUGAAUAAGGAACGGCUAACUCCGUGCCAGCAGCCGCGGUAAUACGGAGGAUCCGAGCGUUAUCCGGCUUUAGUGGGUUUAAAGGGAGCGUAGAUGGGUUGGUAAGUCAGUUGUGAAAGUUUGCGGCUCAACCGUAAAAUUGCCAUUGAUACUGGCAGUCUUGAGUACAGUUGCGGUCGGCGGACUUCGUGUUGUAGCGG
RNAcentral lists this ribosomal RNA (346 nucleotides) under uncultured bacterium. Its description in RNAcentral is "partial 16S ribosomal RNA". It matches the Rfam family "Bacterial small subunit ribosomal RNA", at positions 338 to 681 of the family's 1533-position model. The record is from RNAcentral.